CAUGCUCUACUGUAUGCGCCAGCAAGACUAGUUUUUGAAUCGAUAAGCUCGCGUAACAUGUGGUUGGUGCGCUGAUGCUACUAUGCAAACUUAUGUUUAUGAUAAGCAGCAAAAGCAUUACCACUGACCAACACUUUGAUACCUGGGUUCAGAACGAAUCUUACAGCGAUAUUGUGGAGCUUUU
Molecule: non-coding RNA, 184 nt
Filed under: Gammaproteobacteria bacterium RBG_16_37_9
Lineage: Bacteria; Pseudomonadati; Pseudomonadota; Gammaproteobacteria
Also listed under: 1 other name
Description: 6S RNA
Rfam family: 6S / SsrS RNA
About the family: E. coli 6S RNA was the first non coding RNA to be sequenced, but its function was unknown until recently.
Source: RNAcentral